Molecule: ribosomal RNA, 393 nt
Filed under: Triticum aestivum (bread wheat)
Lineage: Eukaryota; Viridiplantae; Streptophyta; Magnoliopsida; Poales; Poaceae
Description: partial small subunit ribosomal RNA
Source: RNAcentral
AUGCCAGCAGCUGCAGCAUCGCCUGAGUUUGCAGUUCAGCUCUCAGACACUUUGCUACUCCAAGUAUAUAUACUUCAGCACAUCCUUAUGCUCGCUCACAUCUUUCCUGUGUUUUUCCAAGAGCAGCAUUAUGUCCUAUUAUCAUCCUCCAGCGUCACUGUAGCAAAGUUAUCAUAUCAAAAUACUACCAAACGUACCAACAUCGAAAAACAAGGAGGCCAUGACAACCCGUCCAUUUACUUUUUUUGCAGAGAGCCAAAUUACAGAGCUAAAAUAAACAGUCUGUUGGCUGGUGGUACAUCAGCAACGGAGAGAAACAAUAUCUGCUACUUCAUGUUUAUAUACAAUAAAUAUGGCUUGGCUGCAAAAGCUUUCCUGAAAUGGCACUAUUAG